AUUGAACGCUGGCGGCAGGCCUAACACAUGCAAGUCGAACGGUAACAGGGAUCAGCUUGCUGAUUCGCUGACGAGUGGCGGACGGGUGAGUAAUGUCUGGGAAACUGCCCGAUGGAGGGGGAUAACUACUGGAAACGGUAGCUAAUACCGCAUAACGUCGCAAGACCAAAGAGGGGGACCUUCGGGCCUCUUGCCAUCGGAUGUGCCCAGAUGGGAUUAGCUAGUAGGUGGGGUAACGGCUCACCUAGGCGACGAUCCCUAGCUGGUCUGAGAGGAUGACCAGCCACACUGGAACUGAGACACGGUCCAGACUCCUACGGGAGGCAGCAGUGGGGAAUAUUGCACAAUGGGCGCAAGCCUGAUGCAGCCAUGCCGCGUGUAUGAAGAAGGCCUUCGGGUUGUAAAGUACUUUCAGCGGGGAGGAAGGGAGUAAAGUUAAUACCUUUGCUCAUUGACGUUACCCGCAGGAGAAGCACCGGCUAACUCCGUG
Molecule: ribosomal RNA, 490 nt
Filed under: uncultured bacterium
Lineage: Bacteria
Description: partial 16S ribosomal RNA
Rfam family: Bacterial small subunit ribosomal RNA
Source: RNAcentral